UACAGAGGCCCCAAGCGUUACUGAGAAUCACUGGGUUUAAAGGGUGCGUAGGUGGUCCGUUAAGUUCGUUGUGAAAUCCCUGGGCUCAACCCAGGAAAUGCUUCGAAUACUGGCGGACUUGAGGCUAGUAGAGGUCACUGGAACUGACGGUGGAGCGGUGAAAUGCGUAGAUAUCGUCAGGAACGCCGAUGGUGAAGACAGGUGACUGGGCUAGUUCUGACACUGAGGCACGAAAGCGUGGGGAGCGAACGGG
This 253-nucleotide ribosomal RNA is filed under the name uncultured bacterium. RNAcentral describes it as "partial 16S ribosomal RNA". It matches the Rfam family "Bacterial small subunit ribosomal RNA", at positions 524 to 776 of the family's 1533-position model. The record is from RNAcentral.